AAACUUUCAACAACGGAUCUCUUGGUUCUGGCAUCGAUGAAGAACGCAGCGAAAUGCGAUAAGUAAUGUGAAUUGCAGAAUUCAGUGAAUCAUCGAAUCUUUGAACGCACAUUGCGCCCGCCAGCACUCUGGCGGGCAUGCCUGCCCGAGCGUCAUC
RNAcentral lists this ribosomal RNA (157 nucleotides) under Ascomycota sp. RS054. RNAcentral describes it as "5.8S ribosomal RNA". It matches the Rfam family "5.8S ribosomal RNA". Rfam says of the family: 5.8S ribosomal RNA (5.8S rRNA) is a component of the large subunit of the eukaryotic ribosome. It is transcribed by RNA polymerase I as part of the 45S precursor that also contains 18S and 28S rRNA. Lineage: Eukaryota; Fungi; Ascomycota. The record is from RNAcentral.